This 253-nucleotide ribosomal RNA is filed under the name uncultured bacterium. RNAcentral's name for it is "partial 16S ribosomal RNA". It matches the Rfam family "Bacterial small subunit ribosomal RNA", at positions 524 to 776 of the family's 1533-position model. The record is from RNAcentral.
UACGUAGGUGGCAAGCGUUGUCCGGAUUUACUGGGCGUAAAGGGAGCGUAGGUGGAUUUUUAAGUGAGAUGUGAAAUACUCGGGCUCAACCCGAGAACUGCAUUUCAAACUGGAAAUCUAGAGUGCAGGAGAGGGAAGUGGAAUUCCUAGUGUAGCGGUGAAAUGCGUAGAUAUUAGGAGGAACACCAGUGGCGAAGGCGACUUUCUGGACUGUUACUGACGCUGAGGUAUGAAAGCGUGGGGAGCAAACAGG